GCGGCCGUGGUCUAGCCUGGUUAGGACUCGGGCCCCCCGAGCCCGCAACCCGGGUUCAAAUCCCGGCGGCCGCACCA
Molecule: transfer RNA, 77 nt
Filed under: Candidatus Bathyarchaeota archaeon
Lineage: Archaea; Thermoproteati; Candidatus Bathyarchaeota
Description: tRNA-Gly
Rfam family: tRNA
About the family: Transfer RNA (tRNA) molecules are approximately 80 nucleotides in length. Their secondary structure includes four short double-helical elements and three loops (D, anti-codon, and T loops).
Source: RNAcentral